Molecule: long non-coding RNA, 519 nt
Organism: Panicum virgatum (switchgrass)
Lineage: Eukaryota; Viridiplantae; Streptophyta; Magnoliopsida; Poales; Poaceae
Exons: 3
Source: RefSeq, a predicted model, not a curated record
GCCCAGAACCACCUGCGGCCACGAGCAGAGCCACCACCACCGCCGGCCUAAUCCCGAGCUGAGCCAGUGCUUAGGCCCUUUCUUCUAUCUUUUGUUCCGUUUCAUCUUCUUCCUCACCGUUGGUGGAUUUCGAUUCACCCUCUCCGGCUUCCCGGCGAGCACCUCCACCCGUCAUCGUCUCUGCUCGCCGUGGCGCCUCCCUGUUGCGCCGUUCCUUCGUCUGCGCUUUGGUGUCUGAACCGUCGAAAAACGAGCCCGUUGAGCCUAUCGAGUCCGUCGAGCCUGAACCUGGAGUCCAGUUUGUGGUCGAGCCUGAAGUUAACCAAGACAAGCAGCUAAGCAUGAUCCCUUGGACCUAUUUAAUUUGAUUAGUUUAGUUAUCUCACUUGGGUAUUGUGGGGUUAUAUAUAUUAUGUACGUACUGCAUUUUUAUACCUACCUUAAUGCAUUGUCCUUCCUUAAAUUGUUUAACCAUGUCCUUGCCACAUGUUAGUCAAUUAAUAAUUUAAUUUGACUAGA